Molecule: ribosomal RNA, 461 nt
Filed under: uncultured bacterium
Lineage: Bacteria
Description: bacterial SSU rRNA
Rfam family: Bacterial small subunit ribosomal RNA
Source: RNAcentral
ACGAACGCUGGCGGCGUGCUUUACACAUGCAAGUCGAGCGAUGAGAUCCCUUCGGGGAUGGAUUAGCGGCGAACGGGUGAGGAACACGUGAAGAAUCUACCUUCAACACUGGGAUAACUCCGGGAAACCGGGGCUAAUACCGGAUAUGAGAACCGCAGGCAUCUGCGGCUCUGGAAAGUUUUUCGGUUGAAGAUGACUUCGCGGCCUAUCAGCUUGUUGGUGAGGUAAUGGCUCACCAAGGCGACGACGGGUAGCCGGCCUGAGAGGGCGACCGGCCACACUGGGACUGAGACACGGCCCAGACUCCUACGGGAGGCAGCAGUGGGGAAUAUUGGGCAAUGGAGGAAGCUCUGACCCAGCGACGCCGCGUGCGGGAUGAAGGCCUUCGGGUUGUAAACCGCUUUCAGCAGGGAAGAAGCGAAAAUGACGGUACCUGCAGAAGAAGCACCGGCUAACUAUGU